CGUAGGUGGCAAGCGUUGUCCGGAAUUAUUGGGCGUAAAGGGCGCGUAGCGGUACCUUAAGUCAGAUGUGAAACCCGAGGCUUAACUUCGGAGGUGCAUUUGAAACUGGGGAACUAGAGUGCAGGAGAGGUAAGUGGAAUUCCUAGUGUAGCGGUGAAAUGCGUAGAUAUUAGGAGGAACACCAGUGGCGAAGGCGACUUACUGGACUGUAACUGACGCUGAGGCGCGAAAGCGUGGGGAGCAAACAGGAUUAGAUACCCUGGUAGUCCACGCUGUAAACGAUGGAUACUAGGUGUGGGAGGUAUCGACCCCUUCCGUGCCGCAGUAAACGCAAUAAGUAUCCCGCCUGGGGAGUACGGCCGCAAGGUUG
RNAcentral lists this ribosomal RNA (370 nucleotides) under uncultured organism. RNAcentral's name for it is "bacterial SSU rRNA". It matches the Rfam family "Bacterial small subunit ribosomal RNA", at positions 526 to 896 of the family's 1533-position model. The record is from RNAcentral.